UGCAAGUAUCCGCACCCCUGUGAAAACGCCCUUAUCACCCUCUUGGAGAAAGGAGCCGAUAUCAGGCACACUCAUAUGCCCAAGACAUCUAGCUAUGCCACACCCACAAGGGAAUUCAGCAGUGAUUAACAUUAAAUAUGAGCGAUAGCUCGAUUUAGUUAAAGAGCAGAGAGCCGGCUAAUCUGGUGCCAGCCGCCGCGGUUACACCAGAGGCUCAAGUUGAUCUUGCUCGGCGUAAAGCGUGAUUAAAGUUAACUAAUAAUAAAGUCAAACUAAAACUAAGCUGUAGUACGCUUGUUUUUAAGAAGCUCAAAAACGAAAGUUACUUUAAUAAAAACAACUUGAACUCACGACAACUAGGACACAAACUGGGAUUAGAUACCCCACUAUGCCUAGUCGUAAACUUUAAAUUACACUUCCCUCGCCCGGGAACUACGAGCAAAGCUUAAAACUCAAAGGACUUGACGGUACCCUAUAUCCAUCUAGAGGAGCCUGUCCUAUAACCGAUAACCCCCGUUUUACCUUACCAUUUUUAGCCUAUCAGUCUGUAUACCUCCGUCGUCAGCUUACCACGUGAGCGCAACUAAGUAAGCCUAAUGUCUUUACAUCAACACGUCAGGUCAAGGUGCAACAAAUAAAAUGGAUAGAGAUGGGCUACACUUUCUAAUUUAGAAUACACGAAAGACUAUUUAUGAAAUCUAGUCUGAAGGCGGAUUUAGUAGUAAAAAGAAACUAGAGUGUUCUUUUUAACUUGGAACUAGGGUGUGU
This is a ribosomal RNA of 768 nucleotides. It matches the Rfam family "Bacterial small subunit ribosomal RNA", at positions 56 to 1384 of the family's 1533-position model.